UACGUAGGGUGCGAGCGUUAAUCGGAAUUACUGGGCGUAAAGCGUGCGCAGGCGGUGAUGUAAGUCAGGUGUGAAAUCCCCGGGCUUAACCUGGGAAUGGCAUUUGGGACUGCAAGGCUGGAGUACGGUAGAGGAAGGUGGAAUUCCCGGUGUAGCAGUGAAAUGCGUAGAGAUCGGGAGGAACACCAGUGGCGAAGGCGGCCUUCUGGACCAGUACUGACGCUCAUGCACGAAAGCGUGGGGAGCAAACAGG
This 253-nucleotide ribosomal RNA is filed under the name uncultured bacterium. RNAcentral's name for it is "partial 16S ribosomal RNA". It matches the Rfam family "Bacterial small subunit ribosomal RNA", at positions 524 to 776 of the family's 1533-position model. The record is from RNAcentral.